CACUUCUGUGACAUCAGAAAGGGGAGGAGCAGAAGCUGUUCUCCCAGGGCAGUGACAGAUAGAUGUGUGAGCCGACAGGAGACAUGAGCUUCACAGUGCUUCUGGAUGAGUUCCUGCAGGUUACCUUCUUUGGUCCUCUAGACAAUUGAGAUGGCUAGUGGUGGCUGCUUGAAAUUAUUUGUUUGGUGCUGCUAGCUUAUACAGCUGGGAGCUGUGAGAGGGGUGGAGGAAGAGAUUAUUGCCUGAUGAUGAACUUUGAGAGACUGCUUUUGAGUUUUCUUACUUUAUUGCUGUGUUACAAACUGUCAGAUACUACCCGUUGUGUUACAAAGUUAACAAUGAAAAUGUUAUUGUCUGGUCUAUUCAAUUCACCUACUAAUAGAAUAAAAAUUAUUGCAGACAAC
Molecule: long non-coding RNA, 404 nt
Filed under: Equus asinus (donkey)
Lineage: Eukaryota; Metazoa; Chordata; Mammalia; Perissodactyla; Equidae
Description: lncRNA (ENSEASG00005038612.1)
Source: RNAcentral